CCACGUUAGUAGAUCAGUUACAGGGCUGACCUCGUGCGACUGUUAAUCGAAGGGUUGUUGGUUCGAGUCCAACCGCGGGAGCCA
Molecule: transfer RNA, 84 nt
Filed under: Trueperella pyogenes
Lineage: Bacteria; Bacillati; Actinomycetota; Actinomycetes; Actinomycetales; Actinomycetaceae
Description: tRNA-Asn
Source: RNAcentral